GAUGAACGCUGGCGGCGUGCUUAACACAUGCAAGUCGAACGAUGAAGCCCAGCUUGCUGGGUGGAUUAGUGGCGAACGGGUGAGUAACACGUGAGUAACCUGCCCUUAACUCUGGGAUAAGCCUGGGAAACUGGGUCUAAUACCGGAUAGGAGCGUCCACCGCAUGGUGGGUGUUGGAAAGAUUUAUCGGUUUUGGAUGGACUCGCGGCCUAUCAGCUUGUUGGUGAGGUAAUGGCUCACCAAGGCGACGACGGGUAGCCGGCCUGAGAGGGUGACCGGCCACACUGGGACUGAGACACGGCCCAGACUCCUACGGGAGGCAGCAGUGGGGAAUAUUGCACAAUGGGCGCAAGACUGAUGCAGCGACGCCGCGUGAGGGAUGACGGCCUUCGGGUUGUAAACCUCUUUCAGUAGGGAAGAAGCGAAAGUGACGGUACCUGCAGAAGAAGCACCGGCUAACUACGUG
RNAcentral lists this ribosomal RNA (466 nucleotides) under uncultured bacterium. Its description in RNAcentral is "partial 16S ribosomal RNA". It matches the Rfam family "Bacterial small subunit ribosomal RNA", at positions 28 to 507 of the family's 1533-position model. The record is from RNAcentral.